CCUACGGGUGGCAGCAGUGGGGAAUAUUGGACAAUGGGGGGAACCCUGAUCCAGCCAUGCCGCGUGUGUGAAGAAGGCCCUCGGGUUGUAAAGCACUUUCAGCGAGGAAGAACGCCUGGUGGUUAAUACCCAUCAGGAAAGACAUCACUCACAGAAGAAGCACCGGCUAACUCCGUGCCAGCAGCCGCGGUAAUACGGAGGGUGCGAGCGUUAAUCGGAAUUACUGGGCGUAAAGCGCGCGUAGGUGGCUUGAUAAGCCGGUUGUGAAAGCCCCGGGCUCAACCUGGGAACGGCAUCCGGAACUGUCAAGCUAGAGUGCAGGAGAGGAAGGUAGAAUUCCCGGUGUAGCGGUGAAAUGCGUAGAGAUCGGGAGGAAUACCAGUGGCGAAGGCGGCCUUCUGGACUGACACUGACACUGAGGUGCGAAAGCGUGGGUAGCAAACAGGAUUAGAUACCCUGGUAGUC
RNAcentral lists this ribosomal RNA (465 nucleotides) under Vreelandella stevensii. RNAcentral describes it as "partial 16S ribosomal RNA". It matches the Rfam family "Bacterial small subunit ribosomal RNA", at positions 338 to 795 of the family's 1533-position model. Lineage: Bacteria; Pseudomonadati; Pseudomonadota; Gammaproteobacteria; Oceanospirillales; Halomonadaceae. The record is from RNAcentral.